Molecule: long non-coding RNA, 1668 nt
Organism: Arabidopsis lyrata subsp. lyrata
Lineage: Eukaryota; Viridiplantae; Streptophyta; Magnoliopsida; Brassicales; Brassicaceae
Exons: 3
Source: RefSeq, a predicted model, not a curated record
CGCUGACUUUUUAUGCAUAGCAAUUAUGGUUUAUAGUUCUUUUUUGUACCUCAAAUUUGGUCCUUUCUAUGAUGCAUCGUCGUCGGGUUUUUUUUCUCCUUUUUAUGUUAUGAUCACUUGGAAAGUAAGAUCUCAAAGAUCUUUGCCAAUUUGUGAUGAGUUGUUUACGCGAGAUUUAUAGCUUGGUCGAUUACAUGUUUUGAUUUUCGUAGCUGUUUGGUUUUAUAUGCAUGAUAAUUCUCAUGUUUUUGAUUAUCACUUUUUUCUUUUCUCAGGUACAAGGAUAAACUUUUUGGAUUGUGGACUUGCGAACGAAGCUCAAAUCAAAGGACAAAUCAUGGGUCGUAUCCACGAGCGGCUCUUCAAGAUGAGAUCAUGAGCGAGAUUGCAGAGGAUGAGCUUUGAAAUAACUCAGGAUAUAGCUUUCUUCAACUCUCAUUGCUUCCAGUGUCUCAUCCAUCAAAAGACAACAUAUGUCUCUCUUAUCUUUUGGAGCUGUCACGGCCUUCGCUUUUGGACUCACGAAUACCAGUUUCAAAUACAACAGAUUCGUAGCUCGAUCCCUAAAAUUUUCUCUAAGAUUCAUAGCUAAAGCUGUAAAUUUGCCUUUUUGACUUCCACCGCUGUUUCAAAUACAUCAGUUUAAUUCGUACGUUAGACCGUAGUACAUACAUCUUCUUUAUUAUUUAUUGUUAUGAUGUGGUUUUAAAUAAGAUGGUUUUAGCUGAUUCAAAUUGUAUUAAUGGAAACCUACAUAAACAAUAAUUUUUUGGAAUAUCUCUGUUUCUGUGUAGUUAGACCUACUCUAUUCUUUUUAAAUAAACAUGGUUAUUUUUUAUUCGAUGAUUUUUUGAUUAUUUGUUUUUGAUCUUCGACUAGAAAAGGAGAAGGCAAGAGAUUUUCUUCUUUUUUAUUUGCAUGAUUCAGGAAGACCAAUAAACCUCAAGAAUAAUUCCACUACGAAAAGAUCACUCCAAGAAAUUCGUUUGUUUUCUCCAACUCUGCUCUUUGAUUAGCGAAAAACAAAGAUAUGUGGUCAAUGGAGUCUUUUAUAUGACAUGUUCGGAAAUCAGUCCUACCACUCGAUCUCAUAUUAUCUCCUGUCCUUUUAUUCCUCAAGGAAAGGCAUUAACAACAGGCCCUACCUGCCAAAACUGGUUGGUCGUGAUCAAAUUCGGUGGUAACUCAAGAGUUGUGAAGAUGGUAGCCUCCCCAUUGACCAGACUCGCGGAUAACACGGUUCACAUGGAAGGUAAGGCUACUACGUGAACUGGAUGCCGUAUCAACUCACGGAAGAGGUAUAGGCCUGGAAUUGGCCACUUGAGUUGGUUAAGGCGACGAGCGCUUGCAUCCCAACCAUCUGAGUACUACUUGGGUUAAGUCCCCAAGCAAUCCAAGAAGAAGAAGAGGUUCGAUGGUGGUGAAAGGCGAUGGUAACGGUAUCGUUUGGUUUGUUGUUGGAGAAAAGAACCUAAGGUCGAAGCUCAGAGUAAUCGUCUUUUGGCGAAGGCGAGUUUAUUGGAGAAACUGUGUGAGUCACAACCAAACCGAUAAGAAAAAAAUGUUGCCAACACGGGGAACAGAGCUCGCUUUGGAGAUUGUGUUCGGAGAUAUAUAGAAACGCAAACACUGAUGCCUUUUUAAAGGCUACGAAAGUUGGAAGUUCUU